RNAcentral lists this ribosomal RNA (1085 nucleotides) under Staphylococcus aureus. Its description in RNAcentral is "partial 23S ribosomal RNA". It matches the Rfam family "Bacterial large subunit ribosomal RNA", at positions 1 to 1081 of the family's 2925-position model. The record is from RNAcentral. Lineage: Bacteria; Bacillati; Bacillota; Bacilli; Caryophanales; Staphylococcaceae.
AGAUUAAGUUAUUAAGGGCGCACGGUGGAUGCCUUGGCACUAGAAGCCGAUGAAGGACGUUACUAACGACGAUAUGCUUUGGGGAGCUGUAAGUAAGCUUUGAUCCAGAGAUUUCCGAAUGGGGAAACCCAGCAUGAGUUAUGUCAUGUUAUCGAUAUGUGAAUACAUAGCAUAUCAGAAGGCACACCCGGAGAACUGAAACAUCUUAGUACCCGGAGGAAGAGAAAGAAAAUUCGAUUCCCUUAGUAGCGGCGAGCGAAACGGGAAGAGCCCAAACCAACAAGCUUGCUUGUUGGGGUUGUAGGACACUCUAUACGGAGUUACAAAGGACGACAUUAGACGAAUCAUCUGGAAAGAUGAAUCAAAGAAGGUAAUAAUCCUGUAGUCGAAAAUGUUGUCUCUCUUGAGUGGAUCCUGAGUACGACGGAGCACGUGAAAUUCCGUCGGAAUCUGGGAGGACCAUCUCCUAAGGCUAAAUACUCUCUAGUGACCGAUAGUGAACCAGUACCGUGAGGGAAAGGUGAAAAGCACCCCGGAAGGGGAGUGAAAUAGAACCUGAAACCGUGUGCUUACAAGUAGUCAGAGCCCGUUAAUGGGUGAUGGCGUGCCUUUUGUAGAAUGAACCGGCGAGUUACGAUUUGAUGCAAGGUUAAGCAGUAAAUGUGGAGCCGUAGCGAAAGCGAGUCUGAAUAGGGCGUUUAGUAUUUGGUCGUAGACCCGAAACCAGGUGAUCUACCCUUGGUCAGGUUGAAGUUCAGGUAACACUGAAUGGAGGACCGAACCGACUUACGUUGAAAAGUGAGCGGAUGAACUGAGGGUAGCGGAGAAAUUCCAAUCGAACCUGGAGAUAGCUGGUUCUCUCCGAAAUAGCUUUAGGGCUAGCCUCAAGUGAUGAUUAUUGGAGGUAGAGCACUGUUUGGACGAGGGGCCCCUCUCGGGUUACCGAAUUCAGACAAACUCCGAAUGCCAAUUAAUUUAACUUGGGAGUCAGAACAUGGGUGAUAAGGUCCGUGUUCGAAAGGGAAACAGCCCAGACCACCAGCUAAGGUCCCAAAAUAUAUGUUAAGUGGAAAAGGAUGUGGCGU